AUCCCCCUGAUGAGCUCCAUCCAUAUUCCAUAGGAACACCGUCAUACAGCCCCCCGGAAUGGAACGACUUCGGCUGGUACCAUGGCGAGGCAGCGACCGUCUGGUCCCUGGGCAUCCUGCUGCACGAGAUGGUCUGCGGGGAGCACCCUUUCAGGAGGGGCAGGAACAUCAGAUGGGGCCAGCUCCCGCUGCCACAACGGCUCUCCCAAGACUGCCAGAUUCUGAUCAGGUGGUGUUUAUCCCUGAACUCCUUGGACAGGCCCUCAUUAGAAGACCUGUCCUGUGAUCCCUGGAUGCAGGAUAUUCAUCAGCCCUAGAAGAAGGGAGAGAGCCACAGGCACAGUGAUGCAGGGACCUGCCAGGCCCUGGGCAGAACCCUGACAGCCUGGUGUCACCCCAGGGAAGAAGGAGCCCCUGGAGAAGUUGUACCAGGUGGGGCUGCUGCUGCUGCUGCUGGAGACAUGGAGGACAGCAGCAAGGAUGACAACCUCUUCCUGCACCUGGCCAGCGGGAGCUGGCGAUGAUGGACUUUGAUUCUGGCACCUUCUUCAAAGCCAGGCUCCACAGGGAAUUUUCAGGAAGCGUUCCAGGUGGGGUCCAGUCUGGAUCAGGAAGUGCUUGGGACCAGCUGUGGCGUGGAUGGGCCGUGCCCUUGGAGAAGACUGAGGACAUCGUUUGGGACCAGCUUUUCUUGUGGCAGCGGAUGGUGUGAGCCGGGCUCUGCGGAUGCUGAGGCUGCUCUGGGCUCUGCCAGGGCUCUGCUGGGCUCAGCACCGGGCCGGGAUCAGCCAAAGAAGAAACGCUGUGACCUGCAG
Non-coding RNA from Cyanistes caeruleus (blue tit), 815 nucleotides. NCBI's taxonomy places the organism in Eukaryota, Metazoa, Chordata, Aves, Passeriformes, Paridae. The record is from RefSeq and is a predicted model, not a curated record.